RNAcentral lists this small RNA (103 nucleotides) under Pseudomonas sp. 9Ag. Its description in RNAcentral is "ykkC-yxkD". It matches the Rfam family "Guanidine-I riboswitch aptamer". Rfam says of the family: This family represents a conserved RNA structure found upstream of the ykkC and yxkD genes in Bacillus subtilis and related genes in other bacteria. Lineage: Bacteria; Pseudomonadati; Pseudomonadota; Gammaproteobacteria; Pseudomonadales; Pseudomonadaceae. The record is from RNAcentral.
CAACAGGCGAACUAGGGUUCCGGCUCAUGCAGAUGAGCGCUGGUCCGAGAGUUCUCCGGUCCCACGGAUUGGGACUACACGGCGGGAUAAAAGCCCGGGAGGA